ACGCAUUAAGCACUUCCGCCUGGGGAAUACGGUCGCAAGACUGAAACUCAAAGGAAUUGACGGGGGCCCGCACAAGCGGUGGAACAUGUGGUUUAAUUUCGAAGCAACGCGAAGAAACCUUACCAGGUCUUUGACAUUCCUUCUGAACAACUUCUAGAGAUAGAGCGUUCCCCUUCGGGGGACAGAAUGACAGGUGGUGCAUGGUUGUCGUCAGCUCGUGUCGUGAGAUGUUGGGUUAAGUCCCGCAACGAGCGCAACCCUUGAUCUUAGUUGCCAGCAUUUAGUUGGGCACUCUAAGGUGACUGCCGGUGACAAACCGGAGGAAAGUGGGGAUGACGUCAAAUCAUCAUGCCCCUUAUGACCUGGGCUACACACGUGCUACAAUGGAUGGUACAAAGGGCUGCAAGACCGCGAGGUCAAGCCAAUCCCAUAAAACCAUUCUCAGUUCGGAUUGUAGGCUGCAACUCGCCUACAUGA
This 477-nucleotide ribosomal RNA is filed under the name Priestia megaterium. Its description in RNAcentral is "bacterial SSU rRNA". It matches the Rfam family "Bacterial small subunit ribosomal RNA", at positions 855 to 1323 of the family's 1533-position model. The record is from RNAcentral. Lineage: Bacteria; Bacillati; Bacillota; Bacilli; Caryophanales; Bacillaceae.